RNAcentral lists this ribosomal RNA (253 nucleotides) under uncultured bacterium. RNAcentral describes it as "partial 16S ribosomal RNA". It matches the Rfam family "Bacterial small subunit ribosomal RNA", at positions 524 to 776 of the family's 1533-position model. The record is from RNAcentral.
UACGUAGGGUGCGAGCGUUAAUCGGAAUUACUGGGCGUAAAGCGUGCGCAGGCGGUGAUGUAAGACAGAUGUGAAAUCCCCGGGCUCAACCUGGGAACUGCAUUUGUGACUGCAUCGCUGGAGUGCGGCAGAGGGGGAUGGAAUUCCGCGUGUAGCAGUGAAAUGCGUAGAGAUGUGGAGGAAUACCGAUGGCGAAGGCAGCCCCCUGGGCCAAUACUGACGCUCAUGCACGAAAGCGUGGGGAGCAAACAGG